RNAcentral lists this ribosomal RNA (305 nucleotides) under uncultured Anoxybacillus sp. RNAcentral's name for it is "bacterial SSU rRNA". It matches the Rfam family "Bacterial small subunit ribosomal RNA", at positions 1077 to 1382 of the family's 1533-position model. The record is from RNAcentral. Lineage: Bacteria; Bacillati; Bacillota; Bacilli; Caryophanales; Anoxybacillaceae.
GGGUUAAGUCCCGCAACGAGCGCAACCCUCGACCUUAGUUGCCAGCAUUCAGUUGGGCACUCUAAGGUGACUGCCGGCUAAAAGUCGGAGGAAGGUGGGGAUGACGUCAAAUCAUCAUGCCCCUUAUGACCUGGGCUACACACGUGCUACAAUGGGCGGUACAAAGGGUCGCGAACCCGCGAGGGGGGAGCCAAUCCCAAAAAGCCGCUCUCAGUUCGGAUUGCAGGCUGCAACUCGCCUGCAUGAAGCCGGAAUCGCUAGUAAUCGCGGAUCAGCAUGCCGCGGUGAAUACGUUCCCGGGCCUU